RNAcentral lists this ribosomal RNA (125 nucleotides) under Peromyscus maniculatus bairdii (prairie deer mouse). The record is from RNAcentral. Lineage: Eukaryota; Metazoa; Chordata; Mammalia; Rodentia; Cricetidae.
AUCUAUGGGCACAUCAUCCUGAAUGUUCCUAGUCUUGGAAGCUAAGUAGGGCUACUCCUGGUUAGUACUUGGAUGGUAGAAGAGGUAUUUAUUUGUCAUGUGGGAACAGAAGACUCCCAUGUGCA